Molecule: long non-coding RNA, 654 nt
Filed under: Homo sapiens (human)
Lineage: Eukaryota; Metazoa; Chordata; Mammalia; Primates; Hominidae
Description: HSALNT0377335
Source: RNAcentral
CGAGACAGUACCCACUGCCAGCAGCAGAUGGGAAGUCUAAACAGGAGAGACUGAAUAAAGCUGACAACUGAGGCAGGAUAAAGAAGAGAAGGAACAAAGAAGGAGGGGGCAGGAAAAGAAGCCAAGCAGAACAUGCUAGCCUGUCGAUUUUGUCUUCCAUUAAGGCUUCAGCAGAAGAUAAGAAAAGCUAAGCCACGUCAGUGAAGGGAGGACAGCAGGAAGGCUUUCAGGGGAAGAUUUGUGGUGUGGAUUCACUCGGCAUUGAUGAGAGCAGCUCCCCAGACAGAUACCGAGAAUGAAAAACCAAACCAGUGACCAGGAAGAGAAGAUAUGAAGAAAAAUAUAAGUACAUCUUUUAUUGUAAAAAUGAAUAACUAUAGGCUAUAGACUGAAUGUGGAAGCCUAAAUCCCUAGUGUGAUGGUAUUGGGAGGUGGGGCUUUGGGAUGCGAUUAUUAAUAGGUCAAGAGGGUGGUGCCCUCAUGAAUGAGAUUAGUGUCCACAUAAGAAAAGACGCAAAAGAGAUAUCUCUCCCUCCCCAUCCCCACACGGCAUAAGAAUACAAGACAGCUCUCUGCAAACCAAAAAGAAAGCCCUCACCAGACUGGAUCUGCCAGCACCUUGAUCUUGGACUUCUCAACCUCCAGAACUGUGAG